RNAcentral lists this ribosomal RNA (373 nucleotides) under uncultured bacterium. Its description in RNAcentral is "bacterial SSU rRNA". It matches the Rfam family "Bacterial small subunit ribosomal RNA", at positions 28 to 407 of the family's 1533-position model. The record is from RNAcentral.
GAUGAACGCUGGCGGCGUGCUUAACACAUGCAAGUCGAACGUGAGAGGUAGCAAUAUCUUGAAAGUGGCGAACGGUGAGUAACACGUAGGUGACCUGCCUCGGAGUGGGGAUAACAGUUAGAAAUGACUGCUAAUACCGCAUGAAUCCACGGGAUUGGGAAAUUCGGUGGAGAAAACUCUGGUGCUUCGAGAGGGGCCUGCGGUCGAUUAGCUAGUUGGCGGGUAACGGCCCACCAAGGCGACGAUCGAUAGCUGGUCUGAGAGGACGAUCAGCCACACGGGAACUGAGACACGGUCCCGACUCCUACGGGGGGCAGCAGUGAGGAAUAUUGGGCAAUGGGCGGAAGCCUGACCCAGCAACGCCGCGUGAAGG